UUGUGGAGUGGUUGAAAAAGUUGUUUUUAAUGACUUCAACCUAAGUGUAUGUAAACUUCCAACUUCAACUGUAUGUGAAACUUUGCUGCUCUGUCAGCAGUUCCUGUGGGGUUUUUCAAACAGAUCAGUUUGCUUUAUUUAGCUGAGUUCAACCACUGAUCUAAAAAGAAGUUUUCACACCAUUGAAAUAAGGAAGUAAUGAGAGACAAGUCAUAAAGCCUCGCAGUAUUUUACAUUCUUCAGUCCUCUCUACAUGACAGUAGACUGUAUAGCUCAGUGGAGCCCCAGUUAGAGACAGAUAUGAUACCUGCAAUGAUAUUCAUGAUCUAUUUCUGGAGCACAGAUCUCCAGGCUCAAAGCGUCAGUCCACCAGCUGAAUACUCAGUCAGACUGGUGGAUGGGACCACUUCCUGUUUUUGGGACAGUGGAAGUCUUCUAUGAAGAAGGGUG
Non-coding RNA from Salvelinus sp. IW2-2015, 450 nucleotides. The record is from RefSeq and is a predicted model, not a curated record. NCBI's taxonomy places the organism in Eukaryota, Metazoa, Chordata, Actinopteri, Salmoniformes, Salmonidae.